AGCAUGUGGUUUAAUUCGAUGCAACGCGAAGAACCUUACCAGGUCUUGACAUCCCGAUGCUAUUCUAGAGAUAGAAAGUUACUUCGGUACAUCGGUGACAGGUGGUGCAUGGUUGUCGUCAGCUCGUGUCGUGAGAUGUUGGGUUAAGUCCCGCAACGAGCGCAACCCCUAUUGUUAGUUGCCAUCAUUCAGUUGGGCACUCUAGCGAGACUGCCGGUAAUAAACCGGAGGAAGUGGGGAUGACGUCAAAUCAUCAUGCCCCUUAUGACCUGGGCUACACACGUGCUACAAUGGUUGGUACAACGAGUUGCGAGUCGGUGACGGCGAGCUAAUCUCUUAAAGCCAAUCUCAGUUCGGAUUGUAGGCUGCAACUCGCCUACAUGAAGUCGGAAUCGCUAGUAAUCGCGGAUCAGCACGCCGCGGUGAAUACGUUCCCGGGCCUU
RNAcentral lists this ribosomal RNA (443 nucleotides) under uncultured Streptococcus sp. Its description in RNAcentral is "bacterial SSU rRNA". It matches the Rfam family "Bacterial small subunit ribosomal RNA", at positions 936 to 1382 of the family's 1533-position model. Lineage: Bacteria; Bacillati; Bacillota; Bacilli; Lactobacillales; Streptococcaceae. The record is from RNAcentral.